Molecule: long non-coding RNA, 339 nt
Filed under: Salvia miltiorrhiza (redroot sage)
Lineage: Eukaryota; Viridiplantae; Streptophyta; Magnoliopsida; Lamiales; Lamiaceae
Description: long non-coding RNA (SMIL_LNC004512)
Source: RNAcentral
CUCCCUUAAGACCUUAUCACCAAGACACAUGAUGAUAAGACUAUGUGUCUUUUCUUGGAUCUCAAUUCUUUUGAGAGCAGCUUCUGCAGCCUUUGCAUCUGGUUUCUUGUCAUCUGUAUCAAGAGAAAUAGAUGAGGAUCCAGAAUCUCCAUCCUUGAGUGCUGAUGCAAGCCCUUGUUGAGUCAAGAGAGCUUUCAUCUUGAUUCUCCAAAGUCCAAAAUCAUUCUUCCCUGUGAACUUCUCAGUUUCCAGCUUAGUUGAUCCCAUAGCUUUAAACACCUUCAAACCCUGAAAUUGAACCUCCAAUCGUGGGAAGGAUUUCCACAGACAGCGCCACUU